GUGGAUUAGAUACCCUGGUAGUCCACGCCGUAAACGAUGAUAACUAGCUGUCUGGGCUCUUGGAGCUUAGGUGGCGCAGCUAACGCAUUAAGUUAUCCGCCUGGGGAGUACGGCCGCAAGGUUAAAACUCAAAGAAAUUGACGGGGGCCUGCACAAGCGGUGGAGCAUGUGGUUUAAUUCGAAGCAACGCGCAGAACCUUACCAACGUUUGACAUGUCCAGUAUGGUUAGUGGAGACACUUUCCUUCAGUUCGGCUGGCUGGAACACAGGUGCUGCACGGCCGUCGCCAACU
RNAcentral lists this ribosomal RNA (292 nucleotides) under uncultured bacterium. RNAcentral's name for it is "partial 16S ribosomal RNA". It matches the Rfam family "Bacterial small subunit ribosomal RNA", at positions 773 to 1060 of the family's 1533-position model. The record is from RNAcentral.